GACGAACGCUGGCGGCGUGCUUAACACAUGCAAGUCGAACGGAAAGGCCCUGCUUUUGUGGGGUGCUCGAGUGGCGAACGGGUGAGUAACACGUGAGUAACCUGCCCUUGACUUUGGGAUAACUUCAGGAAACUGGGGCGAAUACAGGAUAUGAGCUCCUGCUGCAUGGUGUGGGUUGGUAAGUUUCGGCGGUGGGGGAUGGAUUCGCAGCUUAUCAGCUUGUUGGGGGGGUAGUGGCUUACCAAGGGUUUGACGGGUAGCAGGCCUGAGAGGGUGACCGGCGACCAUGGGACUGAGAUACGGACCAGAAUCCUACCGGAGGCAGCAGGGGGGAAUAUUACAGAAUGGGCGGAAGCCUGAUGUAGCAACGCCGGGUGCGGGAUGAUGGGUUUCGGGUGAUAAACCGAUUUCGCAGGAGAUGAAGAGUGAUUGACGGUAAUUGGUAAAGAAGCACCGGCUAACUACGUG
RNAcentral lists this ribosomal RNA (468 nucleotides) under uncultured bacterium. RNAcentral's name for it is "partial 16S ribosomal RNA". It matches the Rfam family "Bacterial small subunit ribosomal RNA", at positions 28 to 507 of the family's 1533-position model. The record is from RNAcentral.